RNAcentral lists this ribosomal RNA (447 nucleotides) under uncultured bacterium. RNAcentral describes it as "partial 16S ribosomal RNA". It matches the Rfam family "Bacterial small subunit ribosomal RNA", at positions 28 to 523 of the family's 1533-position model. The record is from RNAcentral.
GAUGAACGCUGGCGGCAGGCCUAACACAUGCAAGUCGAGCGCCCAGCAAUGGGAGCGGCAGACGGGUGUGUAACGCGUGGGGAUGUGCCCAAUGGUGCGGAAUAACCCAGGGAAACUUGGAUUAAUACCGCAUGUGCCCUUCGGGGGAAAGAGUUAUCGCCAUUGGAUCAACCCGCGUCUGAUUAGCUAGUUGGUGAGGUAAAGGCUCACCAAGGCGACGAUCAGUAGCUGGUCUGAGAGGAUGAUCAGCCACACUGGCACUGAGACACGGCCCAGGCUCCUACGGGAGGCAGCAGUGGGGAAUAUUGGACAAUGAGAGCAAGCCUGAGCCAGCCAUGCCGCGGGAGUGAUGAAGGCCUUAGGGUUGCAAAGCUCUUUCGCCGGUGAAGAUAAUGACGGUAACCGGAGAAGAAGCCCCGGCUAACUUCGUGCCAGCCGCCGCCGUAA